Molecule: ribosomal RNA, 464 nt
Filed under: uncultured bacterium
Lineage: Bacteria
Description: partial 16S ribosomal RNA
Rfam family: Bacterial small subunit ribosomal RNA
Source: RNAcentral
CUACGGGGCGCAGCAGUGGGGAAUAUUGCACAAUGGGCGCAAGCCUGAUGCAGCCAUGCCGCGUGUAUGAAGAAAGCCUUCGGGUUGUAAAGUACUUUCAGCGGGGAGGAAGGGAGUAAAGUUAAUACCUUUGCUCAUUGACGUUACCCGCAGAAGAAGCACCGGCUAACUCCGUGCCAGCAGCCGCGGUAAUACGGAGGGUGCAAGCGUUAAUCGGAAUUACUGGGCGUAAAGCGCACGCAGGCGGUUUGUUAAGUCAGAUGUGAAAUCCCCGGGCUCAACCUGGGAACUGCAUCUGAUACUGGCAAGCUUGAGUCUCGUAGAGGGGGGUAGAAUUCCAGGUGUAGCGGUGAAAUGCGUAGAGAUCUGGAGGAAUACCGGUGGCGAAGGCGGCCCCCUGGACGAAGACUGACGCUCAGGUGCGAAAGCGUGGGGAGCAAACAGGAUUAGAUGCCCCCGUAGUC